RNAcentral lists this ribosomal RNA (253 nucleotides) under uncultured bacterium. RNAcentral describes it as "partial 16S ribosomal RNA". It matches the Rfam family "Bacterial small subunit ribosomal RNA", at positions 524 to 776 of the family's 1533-position model. The record is from RNAcentral.
UACGUAGGGUGCAAGCGUUGUCCGGAAUUAUUGGGCGUAAAGAGCUUGUAGGCGGUUUGUCGCGUCUGCUGUGAAAAUCCGGGGCUCAACUCCGGACUUGCAGUGGGUACGGGCAGGCUAGAGUGUGGUAGGGGAGACUGGAAUUCCUGGUGUAGCGGUGGAAUGCGCAGAUAUCAGGAGGAACACCGAUGGCGAAGGCAGGUCUCUGGGCCACUACUGACGCUGAGAAGCGAAAGCAUGGGGAGCGAACAGG